This 460-nucleotide ribosomal RNA is filed under the name uncultured bacterium. RNAcentral describes it as "partial 16S ribosomal RNA". It matches the Rfam family "Bacterial small subunit ribosomal RNA", at positions 338 to 795 of the family's 1533-position model. The record is from RNAcentral.
CCUACGGGAGGCAGCAGUGAGGAAUAUUGGUCAAUGGACGGAAGCCUGAACCAGCCAUGCCGCGUGCAGGAAGACGGCUCUAUGAGUUGUAAACUGCUUUUGUACAAGGGUAAACCUGAAUACGUGUAUUCAGCUGAAAGUACUGUACGAAUAAGGAUCGGCUAACUCCGUGCCAGCAGCCGCGGUAAUACGGAGGAUCCAAGCGUUAUCCGGAUUUAUUGGGUUUAAAGGGUGCGUAGGCGGAUUGAUAAGUUAGAGGUGAAAUGUUCGGGCUUAACUCGGGAACUGCCUCUAAUACUGUUGAUCUAGAGAGUAGAUGCGGUAGGCGGAAUGUAUGGUGUAGCGGUGAAAUGCUUAGAGAUCAUACAGAACACCGAUUGCGAAGGCAGCUUACCAAUCUAUAUCUGACGUUGAGGCACGAAAGCGUGGGGAGCAAACAGGAUUAGAUACCCCAGUAGUC